Molecule: transfer RNA, 76 nt
Filed under: Carnobacterium alterfunditum
Lineage: Bacteria; Bacillati; Bacillota; Bacilli; Lactobacillales; Carnobacteriaceae
Also listed under: 15 other names
Rfam family: tRNA
About the family: Transfer RNA (tRNA) molecules are approximately 80 nucleotides in length. Their secondary structure includes four short double-helical elements and three loops (D, anti-codon, and T loops). Further hydrogen bonds mediate the characteristic L-shaped molecular structure. tRNAs have two regions of fundamental functional importance: the anti-codon, which is responsible for specific mRNA codon recognition, and the 3' end, to which the tRNAs corresponding amino acid is attached (by aminoacyl-tRNA synthetases). tRNAs cope with the degeneracy of the genetic code in two manners: having more than one tRNA (with a specific anti-codon) for a particular amino acid; and 'wobble' base-pairing, i.e. permitting non-standard base-pairing at the 3rd anti-codon position.
Source: RNAcentral
GGCCUGGUAGCUCAGUUGGUAGAGCACUUGAUUGAAGCUCAAGGUGUCGGCAGUUCGAUUCUGUCCCAGGCCACCA